RNAcentral lists this ribosomal RNA (479 nucleotides) under uncultured bacterium. RNAcentral's name for it is "bacterial SSU rRNA". It matches the Rfam family "Bacterial small subunit ribosomal RNA", at positions 1 to 530 of the family's 1533-position model. The record is from RNAcentral.
UAGAGUUUGAUCCUGGCUCAGAACGAACGCUGGCGGCAGGCCUCAAACAUGCAAGUCUAGGGGGUGUAGCAAUACAUCACCGGCGGACGGGUGCGUAACACGUGGGAAUGUACUUACUGGUUCGGAACAACUGCGGGAAACUGCAGCUAAUACCGAAUGUGCCCGAAAGGGGAAAGAUUUAUCGCCAGUAAAUCAGCCCGCGUUCGAUUAGCUAGUUGGUGAGGUAAUGGCUCACCAAGGCUCCGAUCGAUAGCUGUUCUGAGAGGAAGAUCAGCCACACUGGGACUGAGACACGGCCCAGACUCCUACGGGAGGCAGCAGUUGGGAAUCUUGGACAAUGGGGGAAACCCUGAUCCAGCCAUGCCGCGUGAGUGAUGAAGGCCUUCGGGUUGUAAAGCUCUUUUACCCGGGAAGAUAAUGACUGUACCGGGAGAAUAAGCUCCGGCUAACUUCGUGCCAGCAGCCGCGGUAAUGCGACG